CUUUAACUCACGAGUUCUACUUUUGUGGUUUUUCUUUUUUCUAUUCUCUCCUUCUCACUGGGAAGAUGGGGAAAAGUGAGCAAAUGACUGUGUCAACAGUAAGACUCUGCAGGCUGAUGAGUUUCUGCUAGAUGGUUCCCCUGCCCCAGGGUUGUUAACAGGACUGAAACUGGCAACUUUUCGUCUUCCAGUGAGACUCAUGCAACUGUACUGCCU
Molecule: long non-coding RNA, 216 nt
Organism: Lagopus leucura (white-tailed ptarmigan)
Lineage: Eukaryota; Metazoa; Chordata; Aves; Galliformes; Phasianidae
Exons: 3
Source: RefSeq, a predicted model, not a curated record